GAUGAACGCUGGCGGCGUGCCUAACACAUGCAAGUCGAGCGAAAGGACCAGUUGCUUGCUUCUCUGAUGUUAGAGGCGGACGGGUGAGUAACAAGCGGACCACCUACUUAUAAAACAGGGAUAACUUCGGGAACUAGGAGCUAAUACGGGCUGAUAUUUUGAGCAGGAUGCUUUAAAGCCGUAAGCCGCUAUUGCGGUCACUUACAGAUGGAUUCGUGGUGCAUUAGCUAGUUGGUAAGGUAAAGGCUUACCAAGGCAACGAUGCAUAGCCGGCCUGAGAGGAGGAUCGGCCACACUGGAACUGAGACACGGUCCAGACUCCUACGGGAGGCAGCAGUAGGGAAUCUUCCGCAAUGGGCGAAAGCCUGACGGAGCAACGCCGCGUGAGUGAUGAAGGUCUUCGGGUCGUAAAACUCUUUUGUUAGGAAAGAACAUAUGUCUAAUUAACUGUGCACAUCAUGACGGUACCUAAACAAAAAGCCACGGCUAACUACGUG
Molecule: ribosomal RNA, 497 nt
Filed under: uncultured bacterium
Lineage: Bacteria
Description: partial 16S ribosomal RNA
Rfam family: Bacterial small subunit ribosomal RNA
Source: RNAcentral